This 269-nucleotide ribosomal RNA is filed under the name uncultured bacterium. Its description in RNAcentral is "partial 16S ribosomal RNA". It matches the Rfam family "Bacterial small subunit ribosomal RNA", at positions 524 to 776 of the family's 1533-position model. The record is from RNAcentral.
UACAGAGGUGGCAAGCGUUGUUCGGAAUUACUGGGCGUAAAGGGCGCGAGUAGGCGGCCUUCUAAGUCAGACGUGAAAAUCCCCCCGGCUUAACCUGGGGAAACUGCGGUCUGAACUACUGGGGAGGCUUAGAGUAUGGGAGAGGGAUGUAGAAUUCCAGGUGUAGCGGUAGAAAUGCGUAGAUAUCGGUAGGAACACCAGUGGGCGAAGGCGGUCUCCUGGGGCGAUUUCUUGACGCUGAGGCGCGAAAGCGUGGGGAGCGAAACAGG